RNAcentral lists this ribosomal RNA (253 nucleotides) under uncultured prokaryote. Its description in RNAcentral is "partial 16S ribosomal RNA". It matches the Rfam family "Bacterial small subunit ribosomal RNA", at positions 523 to 775 of the family's 1533-position model. The record is from RNAcentral.
AUACGGAGGUGGCUAGCGUUGUUCGGAAUUACUGGGCGUAAAGGGCGCGUAGGCGGCAUGGCAAGUCAGAUGUGAAAGCCCCGGGCUUAACUUGGGAAUUGCAUCUGAAACUGUUUUGCUUGAGUCCUGGAGGGGGUAGUGGAAUUCCCAGUGUAGCGGUGAAAUGCGUAGAUAUUGGGAGGAACACCGGUGGCGAAGGCGGCUACCUGGACAGUGACUGACGCUGAGGCGCGAAAGCUAGGGGAGCGAACGG